Molecule: long non-coding RNA, 935 nt
Filed under: Gallus gallus (chicken)
Lineage: Eukaryota; Metazoa; Chordata; Aves; Galliformes; Phasianidae
Source: RNAcentral
GGGACCUUUCUCACCUUUCUGCUUUAGUAAUUAAGUAAAAUUACAAAAAAAAAAAGAGGAGGUACAAACAAUUUCCUUAAUUUCUGGUAAAAGGAGAAAAGUUUUCUCUCACCAUAUGUGGCGCACUGAUUGUAGCCUUGUAUCCUAAAAGGAAGCCAGGUGACAAAAGUUACGUGACAGAGAUGUGACGGCAGUAAGGUUCAAAUAAUGACUAUCUCCCUCCCCGUUCCCUAGAAGUAUGAAAACAUUUUUCUUUCACCUCAUUAAAGCACUUCGUUGGCUCAUAAUCUCCUGUAGGAUAACUAAUGAGACCAAGACAGCUUUCCACUGCUGCAGUUCUCAGCUAUUCCAACUUCUAGCCCCCAGCUCAUUCAUCAAAACGCUCUGCAACUACCACAGGCUGUGCAUGCCUCUACUCCACAAGUCGAAUUCAGAGCAAACAACGCACAUUUUGAACAGCCCGUGCUGUUCUUUCCUCUGGGUCCCACUGUUGAAAUAGGGAUGAGAGCCACUCUUCUUGACCUGUCUUAAAAGCUCACCCGCUGAGUGUGCUUCCAGCACGCAGAGCUCAGGGUGACCUCAGGCCCCUCCUACCACCGUGCCUUGCACAAUCAGCGUGAACACCAUGCAAAGGGCGACACUGGAAGCUACUCACCAAUCGACUGGGGGGAAUCCAUGUACGGGAAAUACUUGAUGUAGUGACCUCUGUCAGUAGCCAGCAACACAUCGAAGACUCGCUGGGAUUUAAUGAUUCCUUUCUUGUAGAGGUUGUUGACCAGCUCGGGGUGCGUCUUCCCGCUGGAGGUCCAGGCCAUGCUUCUGGAGAACAGCAGUCCCAUCAGUGCCAGCGUCACGCAAGGCAGCAGGCGACUCAUCCCACAGCCGGCCGCGCAGCCGCACCGGGCCCCGCUGCCCGUUGCCAGGUGUAACAACUU